Molecule: long non-coding RNA, 4140 nt
Filed under: Gossypium barbadense (sea-island cotton)
Lineage: Eukaryota; Viridiplantae; Streptophyta; Magnoliopsida; Malvales; Malvaceae
Description: long non-coding RNA (GBAR_LNC002095)
Source: RNAcentral
UCAAUGUCACGCUUCAAAACUUUUCAAGUUGUCAUAUUGAUGUUUCAAUUGAAGAUUCAAGCGACAUGAAGAUAUUGAGGUUUACAGUGUUUUAUGGUUCUCCUUAUUCACAUAAUAAGGAAGAAUCAUGGAAUCUAUUGCGACAUCUAUGAACCAUUGGUGAGCUUCCAUGGCUGGUUGGUGGGGAUUUUAACGAAAUUUUAUAUGGUUUCGAAAAGAAAAGAGGACUACCUCUAGAGGAAAGAAGGAUGGAAGCUUUUCGACAGAUAUUAGAAAAUUGUCGAUUGGUGGAUGUAGGCUAUUCAGGAAAUUAGUUUACUUGGGAGAGAGGUAACUUGCCAGAAACGAAUAUACAAGAAAGACUUGAUAGAGGUGUAGCGACUGAAGAGUGGAUCUCUUUAUUCCCAGAUUCCUUAAUUUAACACCUCUCGCAUUCUUUUUCAGAUCAUUGUCCUCUAUUUAUUACUACAGACCGUGAACCAGGUUACUUAAUAAAAGUUUUAAGUUUGAAGCAUGGUAGAUCUUGGGGAAACUUUUAUGGAGGAGGUUCGUGUAAUAUGGGAAAAUUUUACAAGGGAUGUAUUGAAUAAGUUAGAAAGUAUGAAAAGAGGACUAGAAAGAUGGGUUGGAAAAAUUAGUUGACAAAGGAAAAUAAAGAAAGAUGUUUUGAAUUUAAAAUUGGUAAGGCUAUUUGAGUCUGAGAGAAAUAACGAAAAUAUGGCAGAACUUAUAAACACAAAGAUUCAACUGAAUUUUGAGAUAGAGAAGGAUGAAUGUUAUUGGGAACAGAGAGCUUGAAUAAACUGGUUGAAAUUUGGAGAUAGAAAUAUAACGUUUUUUCAUAAGCAAGCAACGCAAAGGAGGAAGAGGAAUUUUAUCCACAAAAUGCAAUACGAAGAUGGUAAGGAGAUGGAGGAAUACAAGGAAAUGGAAGGAAUUGCUAGAUCAUAUUUUCAGAAGCUAUUUUUAGUAGGAAGACGGGAUAAUUGCGAUCGAAUUUUAUCAGGAAUCGAUUACUGCAUUACCGAAGAUGACAGUGGGUAACUUAAUGAAAGAUACACUAAGAAGGAGAUACGAGAAGCUUUAACAGAGUUGGGUCCCACCAAGGCACCAGGAGACGGCCGAUUUUUUGCGGUAUUUUACCAAAAAUGUUGGUCAAUCAUCGGAGACGAAGUUUCAGAUUUUUGCCUUCGAUUAACAAAGCAAAUAUCCUGCUAAUAUCGAAGGUUUCAAAUCCUGCCAAUAUUACUCAAUUUAGACCAAUUAGCUUAUGUAAUGUGAUUUAUAAAUUGAUAGCCAAAGUCAUUGCAAGUCGACUUCGGGUAGUGAUUAAUAAAUGUAUAGAUCUAGCACAGAGUGCUUUCGUACUAAGGAGGUUAGUUUCUGAUAAUGUGUUAUUAGCUUAUGAAAUUUUACAUGCUCUGAAGCACAAGACCGGAAAAAAAAGGCUUAUGGCGGUGAAACUUGACAAUGAGUAAGGCGUACGGUAGAGUAGAAUGGAAGUUUGUGGAGAUGACAAUGAAGAAAAUGGGUUCUGAUCCAAGAUGGGUUGAUUGGAUUAUGAAAUGUGUGUCUACAGUAUCGUACUCAGUGGUAUUCAAUGGAAAGUUAGGGGAAGUGUUUCAUCCAAGUAGAGGUCUAAGACAAGGAGAUCCUUUAAGUCCGUUUUUGUUUUUAUUUUGCGGGGAAGGUCUCUCAAGUCUGAUGAGGAUUGCAAUUGGAGGAAGAAUACUUAAAGGAGUAAAAGUUAGUCGAAGUGGGCCAUCUAUUUCACAUUUACUUUUUGCAAAUGAUUGCAUUCUAUUUGCAGAAGCUACUGAAGGAGCGCAUUCCUUAAAACAGAUUUUGAUUGAAUACGAAAAGUGUUCUGGCCAGUGUAUUAAUUAUGACAUGUUAACAGUGUUUUUUAGCAUAAAUAUGUAGGUAGGGAAAUGAUCGCAGUCUCUAAUGUAUUAGGCGUAAAAAGGUCAACUGAUCCAGAUCGGUAUUUAAGGCUUCCUAAUAUGGUGGGGAGAGAGAAGAGAUCAUCAUUUCAAGUUUUAAAGGACAAAUUCAAAAAGUGAAUUGAUAAUUGGAGCAUAAGGCACCUCUCUCAAGGGGGGAAAGAAAUUUUCAUAAAAGUAGUUCUCCAAUCUAUUCCUACUUACACUAUGGCUUACUUUCUUCUUCCUAAGUCCCUAUGUGUUGAAUUGGAGGGUAUUAUAGCUAAAUUUUGGUGGCAGAAAAGUCAUGACAAAAAAGGCAUUCACUGGUGCCUUGUAAAGAACUAUGCUCAUUGAAAGAAGAUGGGGGACUUGGUUUUCGAAAUCUUGCAAAAUUUAAUGUCGCGUUGUUAGCAAAGUAAGGUUGGCACCUUAUUAAUUUUCCAAAUUUGUUAUUAGCUCGUGUUUUGAAGGCAAAAUAUUACCCUAACUCAGAUUUCUACAAUGCUCGGUUAGGAACAUUACCUUCACUUACCUGGAAGAGUGCCUGGGCAGCAAGAGGGCUUUUAGAAAAAGGUAUGUGCUGAAGAAUUGGAAAAGGGAACCAUAUUUCUGUCUGGGAUGAUUUGUGGAUAUCAGGGGAUGAAGCAGAUAGAUUACAAAACCAAUAAAAUAAUGAAAAUAUCAGUUAGUUUCGGAUCUGAUAGAGGCCACUAUUAGAACUUGGAAAACAGAGGUGAUUAUGAAUACUUUUAAUUUGGCUGUUGUAAGGAAGAUCAUACAAAUUCCACUGGCAGAGAUAGAAUAUGAAGACUUUCAAGUAUGGAGAGGUGAACAGUCCGGUGAGUUCUCAGUCAGAAGCGUCUAUAAACCAUUACAGGAGUCUAGCGUGGAUCCUAAUAAUUACUUUAUACAAACCGAAAUAAAAAAAUUUAUAUAAAAAACUAUGGAAAUUAUAAAUCCCCUCAAAAGUAACAUUGACAAUUUAGAGAAUUUCUUAGAAUUUUAUUCCUUCCCUUGUGAACAUCAAGCAAAAGAAAGUGGUAGUAAAUGCACAAUGCCCUCGAUGUCGUCAAGAUGAAGAGAACAGUAACCACAUUUUUCGCCAGUGUCCUACAACUGUUGAGACUUGGAAUUACUUAAAUCUGUCUUAGGUACUGAAUAAUGAUAUUCAGAAUACGUGGGAGUGGCUUACUUGGGUCUUUGAACAGGAGACUAGUGAACAGAUCCGGUUUUUCUAUUGUGGACUCUGGUUGAUCUGGUUCAACAGGAAUAGAUUAGUAUAUGAAAAGAAAACUGCGACAGGAAGAGAUACAGCAAAACAGAUCCAAAUUUUCAUCUUAGAGUUCGAUGGGGCAAAAGAGAAAAAACUUACAUACCAGUCCAAUAGAAUUUGUCAACAGCAUGUUUGCGAAGCAAGGGUUACAGUCUAUUUUGGUGUAGCUUAUGACCAACAACAUUUCAGAUCGGCUUCAGGCUUGCUUGUACAAAAUGAAGAGGGGGAGAUCUUAGCAUCGAAAAUGGUCAAUCAUUCUGAUAUAGCUACUCCGUUCAUGGCAGAGGCUCAAGUAAGGUUACAAGCAAUGAAAUUAGGAAUCUUCAUGGGAUUAAACAAAAUGGAGGUAAUAGGUGACUCAAAAACUGUUAUAAAGAAAUGCCAAAGUCCCGAGAUUGAUAAAUCGACCAUUGGAGCAAUUAUUAGGGACAUUCAAAGCAUAAAAGACAAAUUUCAAGAGAUCGGUUUUCACUUUAUACCCAAAAUAGAGAAUAUUUAUGCUCAUGUUCUCGCGAAGAAGGCUCUAAGGAGGAGAGAAAAUUGUUACCUGGAAGGAGGGAUUCCAGACCACGUUCGUCAAGCUCUAGAGAGGAAUAGACCAAGGUAUCCGGAUUGAGAGGAAAUGAAGAUGGAAAUCUCUGGAAAGGAUAGUAGGUAAAUGAAAAGAUCUUUUUUUGAAAACUGUUAUCAUUAUGGCUGGGUCAGAACCGUGAAAAGACAGAGACUAUUGGCAUCCAGCUGUUGAUUUGACUGGGUUAGGAUUUGUUUUAUUUUUACCAUUUAGCUGAAGUUUCAUUCAGACAAUUUGGGCUAGUUUUAAAAGUUUUAAACCGGCUCCUCUUUUUAGUAGGCUUUUUGAUUUUCUUUUCUUCUUUUAGGUUUGGGCUAAAGGACUUUAGUCCAAUCUGCUUAUGUGUAAUUAGUUCUUUUAUUGAUUUCAGU